AUGGAUCGUCGGGCGCCUCCCCCUCCUUCCUCGCUCUCCGGCGCCUCGAGUCCCCGCUGCCGCUUCGACGCGGCGUGGAGGGCGCUCCGGAGGCGCGGCGCCGCGGCCGCGGCGGCCCUCGGGCGGGCGCUCGGCGCGCUGCUCACCUUCGUCUUCGCCGUCGUGGGUUCACUGGUCGGGAUCUUCAUCGGUGCCUUCAUGGGGAUGUCCACGGAAAGCGGCAUGCUCCGGGGCGCCGGCGUGGGGGCGGUCUCCGGCGCAGUCUUUUCUAUUGAGGCUGUUGAAUCCUGCAUCGAGAUUUGGAGAUCUAGCGAAUCCGGAAAGUAUAGCUUUCUCUUUGUGCUAGACAUCAUCUCUAGCCUCUUCAGUGGACGAAUUGUUUGGGAGAAGGUCAGUCCAGCACUCCAGCGUGCAGUGCAAAGUCAGAUGAGUUUAAUGAGUACACCUUUCAUUGACAACAACGACCUUUUCGAAACCGGCUGCACGGGUGGUAUGUCAAGAGCCCUGAUCAAUAAGAUCCCAGCAAUCAGGUUCAGCGCUGCAACCGAUUCUGAUCAGGAAACCAAUAAGAGCUGCUGUUCUGUAUGCCUUCAGGACUUGAGACCGCAGCAAUUUGUGAGAGCCUUGCCUCAGUGCCAGCACAUUUUCCACGUGCGAUGCAUCGAUGACUGGCUUCAGAGGAACGCCUCCUGCCCACUGUGCAGGGCUGGUGUUCACAUAGACCACCUGUGCUUAUAA
This 738-nucleotide ribosomal RNA is filed under the name Triticum aestivum (bread wheat). RNAcentral's name for it is "partial small subunit ribosomal RNA". Lineage: Eukaryota; Viridiplantae; Streptophyta; Magnoliopsida; Poales; Poaceae. The record is from RNAcentral.